This 484-nucleotide ribosomal RNA is filed under the name uncultured bacterium. RNAcentral describes it as "bacterial SSU rRNA". It matches the Rfam family "Bacterial small subunit ribosomal RNA", at positions 28 to 526 of the family's 1533-position model. The record is from RNAcentral.
GACGAACGCUGGCGGCGUGCUUAACACAUGCAAGUCGAGCGGAAAGGCUCCUUCGGGGGUACUCGAGCGGCGAACGGGUGAGUAACACGUGAGUAAUCUGCCCUUCACUUGGGGAUAACCUCCGGAAACGGUGGCUAAUACCCGAUAUGACCAGCCUACGCAUGUGGUGUUGGUGGAAAGUUUUUUCGGUGGGGGAUGUGCUCGCGGCCUAUCAGCUUGUUGGUGGGGUAAUGGCCUACCAAGGCUUCGACGGGUAGCCGGCCUGAGAGGGUGACCGGCCACACUGGGACUGAGACACGGCCCAGACUCCUACGGGAGGCAGCAGUGGGGAAUAUUGGACAAUGGGCGGAAGCCUGAUCCAGCAACGCCGCGUGAGGGAUGACGGCCUUCGGGUUGUAAACCUCUUUCAGCGCCGACGAAGCGAGAGUGACGGUAGGCGCAGAAGAAGCACCGGCCAACUACGUGCCAGCCGCCGCAGUAAGAC